AACGAACGCUGGCGGCGCGCCUAAUACAUGCAAGUCGAGCGAGAAGACGUAGCAAUACGUUUGUAAAGCGGCGAACGGGUGAGGAAUACAUGGGUAACCUACCCUCGAGUGGGGAAUAACUAGCCGAAAGGUUAGCUAAUACCGCGUACGCUCCUUGGACUUCGGUUCAGGGAGGAAAGCGAUACCGUGGGUAUCGCGCUCUUGGAUGGGCUCAUGUCCUAUCAGCUUGUUGGUGAGGUAACGGCUCACCAAGGCUUCGACGGGUAGCUGGUCUGAGAGGACGAUCAGCCACACUGGCACUGCGACACGGGCCAGACUCCUACGGGAGGCAGCAGUAAGGAAUAUUGCGCAAUGGGCGAAAGCCUGACGCAGCGACGCCGCGUGGGGGAUGAAGGUCUUCGGAUUGUAAACCCCUUUCGGGAGGGAAGAUGGAACGAGCAAUCGUUCGGACGGUACCUCCAG
This 462-nucleotide ribosomal RNA is filed under the name uncultured bacterium. RNAcentral describes it as "bacterial SSU rRNA". It matches the Rfam family "Bacterial small subunit ribosomal RNA", at positions 29 to 484 of the family's 1533-position model. The record is from RNAcentral.